RNAcentral lists this ribosomal RNA (253 nucleotides) under uncultured bacterium. Its description in RNAcentral is "partial 16S ribosomal RNA". It matches the Rfam family "Bacterial small subunit ribosomal RNA", at positions 524 to 776 of the family's 1533-position model. The record is from RNAcentral.
GACGAACCGUGCAAACGUUGUUCGGAAUCACUGGGCUUAAAGGGCGCGUAGGCGGUCGAUCACGUCCGGGGUGAAAUCUUUCGGCUUAACCGGAAAAGGGCCUUGGAUACGGAUCGGCUGGAGGGAGGUAGGGGCAGGUGGAACUUCCAGUGGAGCGGUGAAAUGCGUUGAUAUUGGAAGGAACGCCGGUGGCGAAAGCGACGCACUGGACCUCUUCUGACACUGAGGCGCGAAAGCCAGGGGAGCAAACGGG